GAUGAAGAACGUAGCGAAAUGCGAUAAGUAAUGUGAAUUGCAGAAUUCAGUGAAUCAUCGAAUCUUUGAACGCACAUUGCGCCCGCCAGUAUUCUGGCGGGCAUGCCUGUCCGAGCGUCAUUUCAACCCUCGCGCCCAUCUGGGCUGCGGUGUUGGGGACCGGCCUGCCCCCCCGGGGCGCGCCGCCCCCCAAAUUCAGUGGCGGUCUCGCUGCAGCCUCCCUUGCGUAGUAGCACACCUCGCACCGGAGCGCAGCGCGGCCACGCCGUAAAACCCCCGACCCCCAUGAGUUUGACCUCGGAUCAGGUAGGAAUACCCGCUGAACUUAAGCAUAUCAAUGCGGAGGA
This 347-nucleotide unclassified non-coding RNA is filed under the name soil metagenome. Its description in RNAcentral is "partial contains 5.8S ribosomal RNA, internal transcribed spacer 2, and large subunit ribosomal RNA". The stretch from base 1 to 120 matches the Rfam family "5.8S ribosomal RNA", at positions 35 to 154 of the family's 154-position model. The record is from RNAcentral.